GUGGGUAUAGCUCAGUGGUUGAGCACAUACUUAGCAUGCACGAGGUCCUGGGUUCAACCCCUAGUACCUCCA
Molecule: transfer RNA, 72 nt
Filed under: Camelus bactrianus (Bactrian camel)
Lineage: Eukaryota; Metazoa; Chordata; Mammalia; Artiodactyla; Camelidae
Also listed under: 2 other names
Rfam family: tRNA
About the family: Transfer RNA (tRNA) molecules are approximately 80 nucleotides in length. Their secondary structure includes four short double-helical elements and three loops (D, anti-codon, and T loops).
Source: Rfam by way of RNAcentral